Cyanistes caeruleus (blue tit) is the source of this 13089-nucleotide long non-coding RNA. RefSeq lists it as uncharacterized. Lineage: Eukaryota; Metazoa; Chordata; Aves; Passeriformes; Paridae. The record is from RefSeq and is a predicted model, not a curated record.
CAUCACCUCUGUUCCAUUUCCUCCUUGCUCCUCCACUGAGUUCCCAUCCCAAACCUCCUCCUAAGACAGCAAGACCCUUGGUGUGGUCAUACCAGCCCAUCUCCCAAACUCACUGAAACUCUGAGUUGUACCUGAACCUCUCUGGCUCCUCCCAGGUCUGUCACAAAUGAAGGUGACAGCAAGGUCUCUCAGCUAAGAGCUCAGGUUGCAAUGAUAGAGGAAAGAAAAAUAUUGAAACUGGAAGACUGAGGACUAGUCAUUGUUGAGAAGUGGAAAUCCAGGACAUGUGAGACCCCUGAAAGUGAUCCCACUGCCCCCAAGGAGCACUUAGCACUUUCAGGGCCUGAACUGACCAGCAGAAUACAUUUCUGGUAUUGAGGGGGCUGGCAAGGGCUGGCAAGUGCUAUGUCCUGCUUUAACAGACUUGAUGCAGGGUUGCUCAAAAUCAGAAGAAUGGGAAUUCUCUAAUUUUAUCUCUGAGCAGUAUCUCGGAUGCCAGUACCCCAGACUGUCAGGUAUGUGGGCCCAACAUUAACUCCUGCUGAUGUUCAGCCCUGACAAUGAUCCCAACACAGCAGUGUUUGUGGCUGACACUGCAGACAGGUGCCAGCAGGACUCCUGUCAUGCCCCAUCAGAGCUAAGAGAGGUCCACAGGACACUGGCCAUCCACCUUCCAUGUUCUCCACAGACAAAGAAACACACAAAGACACCUGCCACGUUCUUUUGUCUUUUUUUUUUUUAAUUAUUCCUUCAUAUUCAAACUUCACAAACAGUGUGAACUUGUACAAUACCUCAGAAAGUGAAACUUACAAAAAAAGUGCUGGUAACAUUAAAAAAAAAAACAAAAAAAAAAACAAACAUCAUUCUUAGCAACAUCAAUUACUCUUCCACACAAAACAGAAACCUUGUAAAAUUUAUUUCCGUAUUUUUUUAAGGCGUAAUACUUCCGUAUAAAGUAUAUGCAAGAGAUAAAACUUCACAGUAUUCCAAAAUGUCACAAUAAUAAUAAUAAUAAUAUAGUAUAAUGAAGCGCUACAGUUAAUUUUCUUUUUUUAUUUUUUUUUUUUCCUGUUUUAAAUAACAAAUACAAGUCACAGGUAAAUAUACGUGAGAAAAAUACGAGGCUAAUAUUAAAUGGCAGGUAAGGAUACUCUCACUGUAAGAAAAAACUGGCAGGAUGUGUGUAUUUAUUCUAUAUUUUAAAGCACUUGAUAGAAAAGGCGUAUGCAAGGUAUUUUUUUUUUUUUAAGAAUUUUCUAUUUGCUUGUUUUUGAUAACUGACAUACCAUUUACAGAGUAUAAUGAGAGAAAAAAAAGGAACUUAACCCCUCAAAACUUUCGACCUGCUCUUCACAUCAUCACAAACCGUGUUUCUGGAGAGAUGCCUGUACAGCUGUGGGGUGUGUGUGUGCGCACAGCGGUGCGUGCAGGGCUGUGCGGGUGGGCGGCUGUCUCAUCACACGGGCAGAGAUCCAUGUCCUGCGCGGGGACCUCUGCCAGCUGAGGCCAAAUCCUCCUGCCUCCACCUUGGCAGGACAAUGCCCGUGGUCAUCGCCACUGGCUGCCCGCACAAAGACUUUAGGAUUUAGGCCUGGGUGCGGUUUCCCAUUCACUCGGCAUCUAUUGACUGCUGGGAAUUCCUUUGGCCCCAAGAAGAAAAUGUCCAAUUUUUACUUUUUACAUCCGCACACGAGAGCGUGCGCUCUCCCCUCCACCGUUUAGCUCCCAUCCACGCCACAGAGCAAAGACCAACUGGGGAACCCCCAUCUGGGUCCCAGCCAGCACCACGAGGAAUGGGAAUGUGGAUGGAUGUGCCUGUGCAGCGUUCUCCGCAUGGCCCUGCCCGUGCUCACAGCAGCCACUCGGCCCAAGGGGAACAAAAAGACAGCAGAUAGCAUUAACACAUCAGUAAGGUGCUCAAAGAAAAAAAGGCAGCUCCCACUCCUGGAAUGGGAAGCCACAUAAGGUGCUUCAAAAAGUUUUUUUUUUCUUUUUUUUUUUCUUUCUUUUUUUUUUUUUUUUUUUUCAGUUUCAGACAUUUUAAAAAAAGGACUGAUUGAGUAUGUGGUACGUGAGAGCAAGGCCGAGAGUUUUGAGAUUUCUGACAUCCUCCAUAAAUAAGCGCUUCCUCAGGGCAGGAUGCAUUUUUGUUUGCUUGCUUUGUUGUUUUUUGUUUGUUAUCUUUGUGGUAAUUAGUUUAGAUGCAAUUUUAUUUUCGUAUAAACCAAAAAAAGUAACAAACCAACCCAAUAUGUAAAUUAGGGUUUAAAAUCUAACUGUGUUAUUGGGCUGAGUUUUUGUUUUUCUUUCUUUUUUUUUGCCCAUUCAUUCAUUUAGCACCGUUCCUUUUUAUUCCGGUUACAACCCAAUUCCUUCUGUAAUUAUUGAACGUACAGAAAGGACCAAGUAGUUGUUUUUAUGUUUUGUGAUCUGUUUCAAGAGCCCAACCGUAAUUCCUCUGCUGCUGCUGUGUUUGUGUAGCAUCUGGUUUCAUGAGCUUAAGGAGAAAGGUUAGUCUGCUGAUAUUUAAGGUUGACAUGUGUGUUUGUAUGCAUACACAUUGUUCUAUACAUACACACUGCAUGGAGUACAUUGGAACUGGAGAUAAAGUCAACUGGGUUCAAACACAUAUGCACUGUCUUCCCCUAUGUAUUUGAAACAGUCUGGAGCUUUGAUUUGAUUUCUUGUUUUUUUAAAGUGCAUUUAAAGCAAAAUAACUGGCAUUCACAUACCCCAUGGAAAACAUGAUUGCAGUGGAAAGCAUGACCAUGCUAAACUCCUUGGACUUGACAAUGCCAAAAGCAAAUGGGGCAGUGACAGGCCUCGGUGUAGGCAGCUAUUCUUGGGCAGCACCAUUGGCAAGGAGGGAAGGCAGGAGGUGGUGGAAGGGAAAUUGCUUUAGAGGUUGAAUAUUUGAACUGUUUCCAAUUCUGACACAGCUGUUUCAUUCCCAAUACAGCUUUCUUUAUGAUGAUUAAUGACCUCUGUCUUAUGGAUGUACCCAUCUGACUCUCCCUAGUUCUGUCUUUUAUCGUGUGUGUGUGUGUCCCAAGUGCCAGCAUCAAUUAGGUAUAAGGCACUGUUAAAAUUACAGUUUUACAAAAGAUGCAAAAUAAUCCAACCCUAACAAUCCCAACUGCCCACACUGGUCUCCUCCCCCUCCUUCCCUUUUCCGGGGGCAGAUAUUGCAUGUGAUGUCUAUUCUUAUGUUCUCUAAAUGUGUCAAAAGUAGGCUUUGGACAAAUGUUUUAAGUCCAUCAGCACCAAAGAUGGGUAGGAAUGCACCCUUUCUCUUGUAUGCAUGUGCACACAUGCAGACUUGUUAACUGGGAGAGGUGGAAUAAUGGCACCAUUCCCAUGCUGCUCCUCUCUGGCUUUAGAGCCAAGCUGAAAAAAUAAACUUCAAAUACCCCAUCCACAAUGUUUACAUUUACUGGAUCAUUUAUGGAAGCAAUUGAGGGGUUUUUCAUUCCACCACCCAGGUGCUACAGGUUUUACAGGUGGAUUUCUGGAAGGGCAAGCUCCAGGAAAGCCUGCAUGGAGCUUCCUGCUCUGCAGGGAAAGAGCACAGGUGGGUGCCCACCCUUGGCUUUACCUGCUGGACAGACAGACAUGGCUCAGGCUACUUUGCACUGAUUCUUACAAUCAGAAAAGCUUCUCCAGCAAAUUUGGCUCCUCAGGGACACUGACUGUGCAGUGGGCAAGUGUGCAGAGAAGCUGUGUGGCAGUUGGGUCCCUGUCUUUGCCCAUGGGCAGCUGUGGAUUGCGAGCUGCUUUUCCAUUGUGCCAACGUGUUUGUUUCUCUCCAUGGUUCUGAUGUGGGAACAAGCGAUGUUCCAGUAACUGGGUGGGGUUUAUUUGCCCUAACAACGCUGCAGUCAGCCCAUCAUAAUGUGCAUUGGCAGCUAGUAUAUCCUUCUGUUGCUAAAAUGUCCAUGAACUACCUUCCCUGUGCCAGGAUCCCACUGGCUCUUCUCACCUUUCACCAAAGGCUAGGGCUGCCUCAUUAAGUAGAGUAUAGUUGAAAAUGAGAAAAGCAAGCAGACAGUAAGGGUAAUAGCAAAGAAAACGUGAGACCAGACAGUCCAGCAUUUAAGUUCUAGGCUAGUCACUUUAGCCACCAUCAUCAAAAUGGACUGAGAUUAAAGGAGUCUAAACUGCUAUGGACCGGGUUUUUGUAAGUGACACAAACCUUGGGAGGGAAAUGAGUUGCCUUUUUUUUUCUUUUAGUGGUUUAAGUCAUCUUGAUAAGGCCACAAACUGCAUUUGUCUUGUCAAUGUGACUACUUGAAAACGGCAUGAAUUGAAAUUGAGUGAGUGCUUCACAAAGCUAGGAUUGAAAUGGGAGAGAAGAGCCACCACAUGCUCACUACGGCUGCACUGUAGGACAGAGGAGCGUCUGAGGAGGUGGUGGUGGAGGGUGUCUCCUUGGGAAGACCUGCUACGUGUGGAAAGGGAAAGGAGCUCAUAGUAUCUCCCAGCUCCCCUUCCUCUCACCACCACCUUACUGUUUUGCUGGAUACCUAUAGACAAGUAGCACUUCUAAAGAGCCUCCUCCUCCUGUUGUCUCUCACAUGUGUAAGUUGGGGAAGGGGAGGAGGCUGGUAUAAUUACAAAAGGGGAAAAAGAAGGCACAUGAUUUUACUCAGUCCUGACUGAACCCACAUUUUGAAAGCAAGGGCAGUUUAGGUGGAGGGCAAAAAAGUGCUCAGUGGAGCGGGUGCUCACUGAGAAGAAAUCUCAGGGCAAAGGAAGCGGGACAAUAAAAAGGAAAGGCAGGAGAAAUGAAGGCCACAUUCAGCUUUCUGUCUGCUUGACAGUCUCAAGAUUUGGCUGCAUUAUUGUCCAGGAAGGAAAAGAGUCUGGUUGAUCUCAAAUGUAGCCCAGUUACAUAUCUCCAGUUUCUGUUAUGGCUGUUGGUGUCUUCCUCUUUCUCUUUUCUCCAGUCCCAUGAAUACUUGGAGCACUGCUUUAGUUUUUUAAGCCUGUUCUUCAAACACUGAGAACAUGGCAUACCUCUUUGGUCACCCUCAGCCUCUACUCCUCCUCAAAUCCAGACCAGUGAUCAAAAUGAGUAGUGUUCCCCACUGGUCACUCCCACUGCUGGGGUGCCCAAGAAGGUUUGACCAGUGAUGGAAAAUGCAAACCAACCUCAUGGUUUCAGUGGGGUUGGUGAGUUUUUCACAAAAGCCUCUGGCAGGAUGAGGGCACUAAACUAAGGGAGUUGUUGACUGAGAAACAGAUGUCAUUUACAGAGGUCAUUAUGAGCAUCAUGUCUCUCAGUCACUUUCUCCUUGCACACUGCCACAUCCAGGUACCAUAAGUUUUCUGUCUCCUCCAGUGACUGCAAGCCUUUCUCAUUCCUGUGAUAGAUGGGAGAAGGAGUAGAGCUGAUGGUCCAGCUUUAGAAUUCCAAAACACUGUUUCCUAAUUUUCCCCCAAGUCUCUGAGUCAAAAAGGCAUUCAGUUUCUCUCUCCCUCUCCUGCCAUCCCCUCCAAAUUUGCUCAGGAGAUCAUAAGGCAGAGUAAUGAGAAGUAGGAUCACCAACAGCUCUAUGAAGACACAGGGUGGUAAAAUGCUUCCCUACAAACUCACAGUCCAGUGUUUGUGACAUUUCAUAAAUAACUUUUUUUUUUUUAAAAAAAAGAAUAACACAAGAACAAUCCCUUUACUUACUCAUCUGAAACAAAAUAAACAGCAGUGGCUACAAACUUCUUCUUGUAACAAUUACAAAAAAACUCCCAACAAUACAAUUCCCCAACUUUUAACACGCGCCUUGAAUGUUUUUUUUAAUGUUAAACCUCAAAACUGCAGCAUAUCCUUAAGGGCAAACUUUUCAAUUAGUUUUUUCUUUCUUUUCUUUUUUUUUUUAAAUAAUGUGUUCACCAAAAAGAAAAAAAAAAUUCCACAAAACAGUCUUGUACCAAGAAAAUGCAUUCAAAAAUAGAAAAUACUACACAACAAAAAUAUGUACCCUUCCUUUCCAAAAGAGUCUUCACAAAAAUGUAGAAAAAUGCCAACCAUUGUUUUUCCUUUCCUGAACACUUAACUUUCAAUCUAGGGCACAAUUAUUUAUUGACUUAUAAUGUCUGUUUUUGCAUAAAAUAUGGAAGAUAAAAACCAACUAUCAGGACUGUGAAGUUACAAACAACACCUCAUUAUUCUCCCCACCCCACAUUCCCUCCUUAGAAAACAAAACAGAGAAAGCCAAAGUUUCAACAACUGAUUGAAAGUCGUCAGGUUAGGGAAACCCAUCAGCUGAUACGGGGAUUCGAAGAUGCUGGCAUAACAGGAAAAUCAUCUGUCUUUUAAAAUGUAUGCUUUUUGCAUUCAUCUCAACAAGUCUCUGCCCUGCUGUUCUCAAAUGACCAGGCACUAUGGCAUCAGGACACUGCUGGGCACAGAAAGAUCUGGGAAAGAAUUUGGGGUCAGGAGCCCAGGGACCGCACAAGGGUGUGUGCGUGCACGUGGCGUUUCACUUGCAAAGAACUCCUUCCAUUUUGAAAGACAGAGAGGAUGUUUCCAUAUGCCUUAAAAGUGCAAGGGCCAUUUCUGGAUCAUAGUAGUUAAAUAUGCAAAAGUUUUAGUAUGCUUAAUAGUCAAGUCCAUUUUUCUGGCAAAGACAAGCCAGAGACAGAUCGCAUCAGCUCACGGCUGGGAGUGGGUAACAGCUGAAAGCUGGUAGGCAAAAAGUGUCACACCAAGGUGCAUCCAGAACUGAUUUAUUCAGUGGGAAAGUGUUUUGCCUACCUUGAACAAUGUUCAAGGGAUAUUAUGCGAUUAACACAGCCAAAAGACCAACUGUUUUGACAGCAAAAGACUCUAGCAGUGGGGAGUUGGGUACUAUGGGGAAGGCAGCUGUAUCUUGCACGCAUGUGGCUAAAUCCAUCCUCUGUGUACCUCCUUUGACUUCAUUGCAAUAACAUCUGCUUGCACCAAGGAUGAAUUUGCCCCAUGUGGUUUUGGAUUUUAUGCCUGUAGGCCAUAGAAGGCCUGUAGAAGCCCAACCCUCCAGAAUACUGUGCUAGAAUACUCCAGAUGGCAGAGCUAGAAUCAAAAAGGCUUCUCUCUUCUUCUGUUUGAGAUUGUUUUCUUUCUAGCAUAUCUUUUAAAGGAUGCUUCCGUAACAAGAAGGAAGAGGGGAGCUUUUUCUUAGCCUUUUCCACUGCGUGGCUGUGUGUUUUCCUUUUUUCAAAUGGCAAAAUGUGUUUGUGUUUACUUCCAGUGCAUUUUUUUUUUUUCAAAAAUUCAAAACAAAAAGGAAACAUUACUUUUCCCAUCCUUCAAAAGGAAACAAAACCAAAACAGACCGAUAAAGUACAAUACAAUAAAAAUCAGGCAUUAUAAAAGACAACAUGAUGUGCAACAGCAAUACCAAAGAAACAAAAAUAAAAAAUAUAUAUAUAUAUAUUAGGAUACAGGUACGAAUGAGCCAAGAAAGCUAUCUAACCCCACUACUGGAUGAUUGGUAAGCAUUGGUUAAGAAAUACGUAAGGCUAUUCUGAGAUUUCUAACUUAACACAGUUAACCACUGCUUCUCUCACACCUUCACUUCCUAAAUUUUUCACCUUUCACUCACUGGUCUUUUAUGUCUUGAAACUGAAUUUUUUUCCUUUUCAUAUUUUUUGGUCUACAGUAGAAUUACAUGUUAAUAACAACAACAAAACAAAACUCAAGCUUGUUGUGAGAGUUAAGUUGGUGCCACAUCCAUGAUGCAGAAGAAAGAAGACAGACAACAGAACAACUGCAUUCAGCUUUUCACACACAAAGCAUAUUCAAGGGCAACAGCAUAGCUGACCAAAACAAGUUUGGAGGGGCAAGCAGCAGAAGCUCUAGGUUUACAACUACACCACCAACCAGAGCCUGGUCUUUCACCUUUACCAAUGUCCUUGAGGACAACAGUAGCUCAGUUGCCAUGUGGCUUUGCCAUUCCCGUCAUCUGGAGCUUCAGCUAACCUGACAUUACUUCACCACUAAAUGCACACUUGGUCCGAUGGAAAACCAAAAGGAAAAGAAAAGGCAAAAUGCUCCUAGCUGAGGCCAAGUGUAUCUUUUGGUCACCUUGGCUGAUGUGACAAAUCCUCAGCCAUGGGGAUACCGGGAUCAGUGAGAGAGGGCAUCUGGCUGGCAGGUCAUUGGGAAGCAGUUUUGAAGAGAACUCAGACUGUCUAAGGUGAUGUGGCAGUUGCUUAACCUCCUCCAUUAGGGGAAAAGUGAUGAACACUGACAGGUUACCCUAAUUCCAUUAGUAUAAAUUCUCUUAGCUCAUAGCGGGGAUGAGAAAGCAUACACUCUGUGCUGCUUUGGAAUUGCCUUUGUAAAUGUCAGCAUCACCAGCCACCAGAAAUGCAUUCUCUACAAACAUGGCCACAGCACCGUGACUGAAGCUCCAUAGUGAAUUCUGGUAUUUUUUUUCUGUGGAACUCCUGAAACGUAACAUUUUCCUCAAGGGUAAGCUCUGAAAUUACUAUAAUGCUGAAAAUAUCACUCGCAUUUUCUUGAACCAUAACUAUGCCACAGUCCCAGCAAAAGUCAAGCUGAUCCUCAGUAGUGCUUGUCAAUGUUGAGGAAUGGAACAUACAGAAACAAGAUGAUCAAACUGUACAGGGAAGUUCUGUUUUGGAUCUAGCCCACUGGCCAAAGGGAUUUUUGUUCAGGAGAAAAGGUGCAACAAUGAAGCAGGAUGACAAAUGGAGGAGAAUUAUGGAAGUUAGUGUUUCUCCAUCUGGAGAAAAAAAAUAGGGCAUUACGCGGCAUCUCUAGUCAGCAACAUAUGUUUUGGCUUCUUAAAAUAAACCUCAAGUUAUCCUUGGUUUCUCAGUCAAGCACUGUCUACAUGGGGCUAUAGUACCAUGCUGAAAAAAAUAAAAGAAUUUGUGCUAUAUUUAAAUGUAGUUCCAGUUAAACUAGUUUCAAACUGACCAUGCAAAAAGGAACAACUUGUUUAAAAGCCAUUGAAACUAUACAAUCAUGCUUAUGCCCAGGAACUUGUAUGGUUGAGCACUGUAACCAAGUGCAAACAAGAAAUUUGGCUUUUAAAAAAUGGUUUGUUUCCUGGUUACAUGGACUAGACAGUUCAGUUGAAACUGAGUCAGCUGGAAUCAGGUUUGAACAGGCUGAAUUCAAACAUGGAUUUGGAGCAUGGCUCAAAGCCCACUUUUUCAGGUUGCAGUACUUUUAAAAAACUAGUGCAAAUGGCAUCUUAUCACAGCAUUGCAAACAUGCAGUGUUCCUCUCCUUGUCCAAAUAUGGUUGCCAUCAGGUCACACCACAAGGGAGGAAUAUGCAGCAAUCAGCCAGCCGGAACAGCUCAACCUACAGAAGUUCUUUAUUUUACCACAGCAGGAAAGGCACUCUGGACACAGCAGGCUCAGUAAACCCUCAGCUUCACUUUUUUUUCUGGAGCAGUCCACUACUCCUCUUUGACAAUGCAAAUCCACUCUGACAGUAGCAAUAUAUGCAGCUGCCUUAAACAAGGAAACAAAGGAAAACUCACCUAAGCAAAAAACAGGAGUAUUGGCUCAUUACAUGAAUUAACUUCAGCAGACAGACUUCAUUUCCUCCCAUAUCACAGCUCUGUAGCUGUGGAAGCAAAUGCCACUUUACAAAAUAAAGGUGCUCUCCUGCCUCUGUAUUAUGCUGGCUCUCAAAUGAACUGUGCUUUUGUUGGACAUCCACCGACUCAUUACUGGAAGUUGACCUUCCAGUGGUUUUCAUCUCAGAGGGUUCCUGCAGAUGACAAAUAAACAGGCUUCUUGUUCCACUGUCCUGCUUACUUUCAAGGGAAGAGUCAUUCAGUAGUUAAUCUAACAGUACAUCAGGGCGUAUCUCCAGUUCUUCUCUUCCAGUCCUUUCAAGCCAGGAUGGCUGGAAUCUAAGAGUGGAAAUCUAAAAGCUCACCAGAACAACACAUCCUUAACUCCAAAGUCUCUCCUGGUUCCAGACUUGUUCCAUCCCAUCCAACACCUGUCUCUUGCAUACCACUCCUUCUCUAGUUCUUGACACUUUUGUCAAAUGAGGCAACCCAAGAGACUGAGCAGCAGCAAUCUGCUUUGCAUUGUGCACUCUCUGAAAGGUCUGUACUACCCAUGUCUUGGUACUAAUGAAACCAAAAUACCUUAGUUUUAAAUCUAAGCCAAAAUUCUGGACAUGAAUAGAUUUCUAGUCCCCCAAUUGCUCUAGCCUUUUCUUAGCAAUUGGGUAAGUACCUCCCCUUUUUUGACCAUGAAAUCCUGUGGUACAUUAGACAGAUGAUUCCUCCACUACAGGACCAAAGUGGAUGCACUCAUGUUUUACAUUUUUCUCCCAGUUUCUCUACUGAAUAUUUUUCAGGAUCCUGUUUUACCAUCUGGCUAAAGUUACAAUUAUAGUCUUACUGAUGAGAUUCGACACAAACUUUUGAGAGUUCACAGAUCACAAAGAGCUACAGCAGAGAUGGAUCUUGCUGCACAUUGCUACUGUUUUUGUUUUUCUCAUAGUUUACUUGUUACAAAAUUAAUGACCAAGGUCAACAUGCAUCUUGACUGUAAAAAUACUUUCCAGCUCAGGAUUCCAUUUGGUUCCAGCUGAAAGCCUUCAAAAUGCUAGACUAUCUGUUAAAGGAGAGAAAUCAGAGAGAAGAACUGAAAAUACUAGACAGCACCUUUGCCUGAGCAGGAAUAUUUCUGUAUAUACUGAAUUCCACACCACCCUUUUUUUGCCCAAAUGCCCCUCCUGCUUCUUCUACCCCAAAGGCUUGACUGGAACACCUGUAAUUGAGUGUUCAGGAUGACUGUUUAUUGCACUGUUCCCAUAACAGCCUCGGAAAGACGUGCUUCAUUUCAGUGACCUUCCCCUUUGGUAAAGUCUGCUUUGUGACUUCACUUCUUGAGCUGAGAGAUCCUGCUUUUACUGAAGGGAUGCUAAUCAUAGUCAAACCUCUGCAAGAGGUUCUAUCCAACAAUUCCAGUUUUGACAUUGGAACUGGGAAUUUGUGUCUUUAUGGUGAAGCCUUACGCUGGUUUACACAAUGAGCAGUUCUCUUAACUUCCUCACAGCCCUGAAGAACACUCUCUACAAAAAGGGGAAAAAAGAUCUGUAGCACCCAGAAACUUCUGAUGCCUCUUCAGUUUCUAUUAUAGUGCUUUAUUUAUUUAUUUUAACAGAAGGUAUCCAAUACAGCUGUCUCAGUGUCUGACUAGUUGCUUAAAAUUAAGGUGACCUCACUUCUCUUUCAACCUGGUCAGGUUUAUGGUACAUCCUGUUUUCUGUGCCUAUCCCUUUCUCUUCUCCCUUCCUGCUUAAUUGGCCCCUUUCAAUCCCACCACAUGUAAAUACAUUUCAGUAGUGCAAUGCAGUGCAGUGCAGUCAUACUUAGUGCAAAAAUAAAAAGCCUUAUCCAGACCAAAAAAGCACAAACUCCCCAUCCCACCCAGCCCCCAAGAAAUCAGCUCUCUGUUAAAGUAUAUGAAUGCCCCUAAGCAAAGGGGGAUUUGCAGUCUCCCAGCCACACUUUCAUAUGCCUUGUUUUCUCUCCUCCCAGCUGAUGUGGAGAUCUCAUUAACCAAUAGGACAUUUAUCAAAAACAAAUUCAAAUGACAGAAAUCAGAAAGGAGACAAGCCAUUGUUUGGGGGCUGCAGAAAGAAGAGAGAACUAAAUGGAUACAGCAAAAAAAGGUCAGUAGUGGUUUUACACAAAGUCGCAAGGGUACGCCUUGCAAAGGGCAUGCGUGUGGAUAAAAAAACCUAAAAAGCUUCCCUGUUCCAAAUAUACAAUCCCUAUUUUAACAGUGCCCAAGCUAAGGUUCUGUAGUGCAAUCAGCUUUUCAAAAUGGCAGCUCUGUGGCCACCCUAAAACAAUUGGACAGAUCAACACUAACUUCAGUUUUCUCCUGCUCACGUAGGUACACACAUGCGUGAACAGUUCCCCUCCAUCCUGCAAAUACUUGGAGAUAUAAAGUAUUUUUUUUCACAGCCCAUCUAGGACUAUGGUGGGAAAAGCAGGAAUUUCAAUGACAGGCAUAUAAGCUCUUAGGUACCUCAAAAUGAAAACUUAAAAGGAAGACAAAAUAAAGCUCACUAAUUACAAAGGCAAGCAGGUUACUGAAUCCAAAUCAGAUCAUACCUCCCCUAGCUUAUCUGUCUCUUUUAACAAAAUAAAACAUCUGCCAGGGCCUGCCACUCGUUAAGAUAUCACUUGGGAAAACACAACAAAGACUUUGGAGUAUUCACCAGCUAGGAGGUUAUAACUUCAAUUUGGACAGCCACAAGAGCCUCCAUCAAACUCUUGUAGCUACUGGAAAGCAGUGUGGGGAACCACUAAAGCAGUGUAGGAGGCCAUAACAGGGAAGGAGGAGCAAGAAAAGUAAAUGUCUGAAAAAUGGAACACAUCAGGGCAAUGCUGCUGCUGCUCUACUAAUCUAAUUGUAAUUGCUCAGUAUAUAGAACAAUACUGCAUGCUGCUUCAUUUGGGCUCAGGCACAUGCUUCCUCUUAACCUUCUGCCUCUUCCCUCCCAGUCCCUUGCUGAAAAUGGCAGCCCACCCCUGAAUGUAAACAAAAGCAAAUACCAACAGAUAAACCAAAUUACAACCAAGAAGCAAUUUUCUCAUUUUUCUUUCUGUUAUAAAGAUACUGUGUCCCUCCCUCCAGGCAGGUGUACUGUUUCAUCCACAUGCACAGAAACAAGGAAAGAACCUACAAGAAAGAAUCUAAAUAAGGGUGCAGGGAACCUGAGUAUCUACCUCUAAACCAGAAAAAUGCCAGACUGCAAGGACUUUUGCUGUUUAUCUUUACCAAUGAGCCUGUAAUGAAAAAGAAAGAGCACAUAAUGGAAUCACUAGGCAUGGGCAAAGGGACAGCACCUAAACCCAUAUCUCUGGGUGCAGAGCUACAGUGGUGCAUCCCAUGCCUGAACAUACAUGAGACACAAAACAAGUAGCACUUGCCAGCUCUUCUGUAAAGUCUACAAACUUCAAUUUAGCCACUAUAAUCAGCAGCAAUGAAUUUUUUUGCUGUUCAGCUGUAUGUACUUCAAGGGGGUCCUACUUUUUUGACGAAAUACUGUUCACGCUAUCUAUUCUCCUGCACACCCAAUGCAGUAGCACUUUU